UUGGGUAGGGGAGCGUUCUGUAAGCCUGUGAAGGUGGCCUGUGAGGGUUGCUGGAGGUAUCAGAAGUGCGAAUGCUGACAUAAGUAACGAUAAAGCGGGUGAAAAGCCCGCUCGCCGGAAGACCAAGGGUUCCUGUCCAACGUUAAUCGGGGCAGGGUGAGUCGACCCCUAAGGCGAGGCCGAAAGGCGUAGUCGAUGGGAAACGGGUUAAUAUUCCCGUACUUGGUGUUACUGCGAAGGGGGGACGGAGAAGGCUAUGUUGGCCGGGCGACGGUUGUCCCGGUUUAAGCGUGUAGGUGUGUGUUCCAGGUAAAUCCGGUUCACUUUAACACUGAGGCGUGACGACGAGGCACUACGGUGCUGAAGCAACAAAUGCCCUGCUUCCAGGAAAAGCCUCUAAGCAUCAGGUAACAUCAAAUCGUACCCCAAACCGACACAGGUGGUCAGGUAGAGAAUACCAAGGCGCUUGAGAGAACUCGGGUGAAGGAACUAGGCAAAAUGGUGCCGUAACUUCGGGAGAAGGCACGCUGACACGUAGGUGAAGUGAUUUACUCAUGGAGCUGAAGUCAGUCGAAGAUACCAGCUGGCUGCAACUGUUUAUUAAAAACACAGCACUGUGCAAACACGAAAGUGGACGUAUACGGUGUGACGCCUGCCCGGUGCCGGAAGGUUAAUUGAUGGGGUCAGCGCAAGCGAAGCUCCUGAUCGAAGCCCCGGUAAACGGCGGCCGUAACUAUAACGGUCCUAAGGUAGCGAAAUUCCUUGUCGGGUAAGUUCCGACCUGCACGAAUGGCGUAAUGAUGGCCAGGCUGUCUCCACCCGAGACUCAGUGAAAUUGAACUCGCUGUGAAGAUGCAGUGUACCCGCGGCAAGACGGAAAGACCCCGUGAACCUUUACUAUAGCUUGACACUGAACAUUGAGCCUUGAUGUGUAGGAUAGGUGGGAGGCUUUGAAGUGUGGACGCCAGUCUGCAUGGAGCCGACCUUGAAAUACCACCCUUUAAUGUUUGAUGUUCUAACGUGGACCCGUAAUCCGGGUUGCGGACAGUGUCUGGUGGGUAGUUUGACUGGGGCGGUCUCCUCCUAAAGAGUAACGGAGGAGCACGAAGGUUGGCUAAUCCUGGUCGGACAUCAGGAGGUUAGUGCAAUGGCAUAAGCCAGCUUGACUGCGAGCGUGACGGCGCGAGCAGGUGCGAAAGCAGGUCAUAGUGAUCCGGUGGUUCUGAAUGGAAGGGCCAUCGCUCAACGGAUAAAAGGUACUCCGGGGAUAACAGGCUGAUACCGCCCAAGAGUUCAUAUCGACGGCGGUGUUUGGCACCUCGAUGUCGGCUCAUCACAUCCUGGGGCUGAAGUAGGUCCCAAGGGUAUGGCUGUUCGCCAUUUAAAGUGGUACGCGAGCUGGGUUUAGAACGUCGUGAGACAGUUCGGUCCCUAUCUGCCGUGGGCGCUGGAGAACUGAGGGGGGCUGCUCCUAGUACGAGAGGACCGGAGUGGACGCAUCACUGGUGUUCGGGUUGUCAUGCCAAUGGCACUGCCCGGUAGCUAAAUGCGGAAGAGAUAAGUGCUGAAAGCAUCUAAGCACGAAACUUGCCCCGAGAUGAGUUCUCCCUGAGACUUAGAGUCUCCUGAAGGAACGUUGAAGACGACGACGUUGAUAGGCCGGGUGUGUAAGCGCAGCGAUGCGUUGAGCUAACCGGUACUAAUGAACCGUGAGGCUUAACCUUACAACGCCGAAG
RNAcentral lists this ribosomal RNA (1736 nucleotides) under Salmonella enterica subsp. enterica serovar Mbandaka. Its description in RNAcentral is "bacterial LSU rRNA". It matches the Rfam family "Bacterial large subunit ribosomal RNA", at positions 1224 to 2925 of the family's 2925-position model. The record is from RNAcentral. Lineage: Bacteria; Pseudomonadati; Pseudomonadota; Gammaproteobacteria; Enterobacterales; Enterobacteriaceae.